GAUGAACGCUGGCGGCGUGCCUAAUACAUGCAAGUCGAGCGAACGGACGAGAAGCUUGCUUCUCUGAUGUUAGCGGCGGACGGUUGAGUAACACGUGGAUAACUUACCUAUAAGACUGGGAUAACUUCGGGAAACCGGAGCUAAUACCGGAUAAUAUUUUGAACCGCAUGGUUCAAAAGUGAAAGACGGUCUUGCUGUCACUUAUAGAUGGAUCCGCGCUGCAUUAGCUAGUUGGUAAGGUAACGGCUUACCAAGGCAACGAUGCAUAGCCGACCUGAGAGGGUGAUCGGCCACACUGGAACUGAGACACGGUCCAGACUCCUACGGGAGGCAGCAGUAGGGAAUCUUCCGCAAUGGGCGAAAGCCUGACGGAGCAACGCCGCGUGAGUGAUGAAGGUCUUCGGAUCGUAAAACUCUGUUAUUAGGGAAGAACAUAUGUGUAAGUAACUGUGCACAUCUUGACGGUACCUAAUCAGAAAGCCACGGCUAACUACGUG
This 497-nucleotide ribosomal RNA is filed under the name uncultured bacterium. RNAcentral describes it as "partial 16S ribosomal RNA". It matches the Rfam family "Bacterial small subunit ribosomal RNA", at positions 28 to 507 of the family's 1533-position model. The record is from RNAcentral.